RNAcentral lists this ribosomal RNA (417 nucleotides) under Clostridiales bacterium oral taxon 075. RNAcentral's name for it is "bacterial SSU rRNA". It matches the Rfam family "Bacterial small subunit ribosomal RNA", at positions 28 to 433 of the family's 1533-position model. Lineage: Bacteria; Bacillati; Bacillota; Clostridia; Eubacteriales. The record is from RNAcentral.
GAUAAACGCUGGCGGUGUACAUAAGACAUGCAAGUCGAACGGGAGAAGACUGGAAGAUUUAUCUACUAGCUCGGACACCGUGGCGGACGGGUGAGUAACACGUAAGCAACCUGCCUAUAAGAGGGGAAUAACAGUGAGAAAUUACUGAUAAUACCGCAUAAGCUGGAGGUAUCGCAUGAUACAUUCAGAAAAGAUUUAUCGCUUAUAGAUGGGCUUGCGUCUGAUUAGCUAGUUGGUGAGAUAACAGCUCACCAAGGCGACGAUCAGUAGCCGGAUUGAGAGGUUGAACGGCCACAUUGGGACUGAGACACGGCCCAGACUCCUACGGGAGGCAGCAGUCGGGAAUAUUGCACAAUGGAGGAAACUCUGAUGCAGUGACACCGCGUAUAGGAAGAAGGUCUUAGGAUUGUAAGCUAU